UACGUAGGGUGCGAGCGUUAAUCGGAAUUACUGGGCGUAAAGCGUGCGCAGGCGGCUUGCCAAGUCAGAUGUGAAAGCCCCGGGCUCAACCCGGGAACGGCGUUUGAAACUGGCAGGCUAGAGUUUGGCAGAGGGGGGUGGAAUUCCACGUGUAGCAGUGAAAUGCGUAGAGACCCGGAGGAACACCAGUGGCGAAGGCGGCUUCCUGGUCUGCAACUGACGCUGUGGCGCGAAAGCUAGGGGAGCAAACGGG
This 253-nucleotide ribosomal RNA is filed under the name uncultured bacterium. RNAcentral describes it as "partial 16S ribosomal RNA". It matches the Rfam family "Bacterial small subunit ribosomal RNA", at positions 524 to 776 of the family's 1533-position model. The record is from RNAcentral.